AGCUUUGCGCAGUGGCAGUAUCGUAGCCAAUGAGGUUUAUCCGAGGCGCGAUUAUUGCUAAUUAAAGAAGUAUCCAGUCUAAAAUGAUAGUAGAACCAAGGUGGAGAAAUCCUUAAUCAGGAAUCAUAUUCUUUGUCUCUCAGAAAACCGA
RNAcentral lists this small nuclear RNA (151 nucleotides) under Neogale vison (American mink). RNAcentral's name for it is "Neovison vison (American mink) U4 spliceosomal RNA (ENSNVIG00000010300.1)". It matches the Rfam family "U4 spliceosomal RNA". Rfam says of the family: U4 small nuclear RNA (U4 snRNA) is a component of the major U2-dependent spliceosome. The structure of U4 snRNA from yeast and human has been reported. Lineage: Eukaryota; Metazoa; Chordata; Mammalia; Carnivora; Mustelidae. The record is from Rfam by way of RNAcentral.